CACCGAAGCUGCGGCAGCGACGCUGAUGCGUUGUUGGGUAGGGGAGCGUUCUGUAAGCCUGCGAAGGUGACCUGUGAGGGUUGCUGGAGGUAUCAGAAGUGCGAAUGCUGACAUAAGUAACGAUAAAGCGGGUGAAAAGCCCGCUCGCCGGAAGACCAAGGGUUCCUGUCCAACGUUAAUCGGGGCAGGGUGAGUCGACCCCUAAGGCGAGGCCGAAAGGCGUAGUCGAUGGGAAACGGGUUAAUAUUCCCGUACUUGGUGUUACUGCGAAGGGGGGACGGAGAAGGCUAUGUUGGCCGGGCGACGGUUGUCCCGGUUUAAGCGUGUAGGUGUGUGUUCCAGGUAAAUCCGGUUCACUUUAACACUGAGGCGUGAUGACGAGGCACUACGGUGCUGAAGCAACAAAUGCCCUGCUUCCAGGAAAAGCCUCUAAGCAUCAGGUAACAUCAAAUCGUACCCCAAACCGACACAGGUGGUCAGGUAGAGAAUACCAAGGCGCUUGAGAGAACUCGGGUGAAGGAACUAGGCAAAAUGGUGCCGUAACUUCGGGAGAAGGCACGCUGACACGUAGGUGAAGUGAUUUACUCAUGGAGCUGAAGUCAGUCGAAGAUACCAGCUGGCUGCAACUGUUUAUUAAAAACACAGCACUGUGCAAACACGAAAGUGGACGUAUACGGUGUGACGCCUGCCCGGUGCCGGAAGGUUAAUUGAUGGGGUCAGCGCAAGCGAAGCUCCUGAUCGAAGCCCCGGUAAACGGCGGCCGUAACUAUAACGGUCCUAAGGUAGCGAAAUUCCUUGUCGGGUAAGUUCCGACCUGCACGAAUGGCGUAAUGAUGGCCAGGCUGUCUCCACCCGAGACUCAGUGAAAUUGAACUCGCUGUGAAGAUGCAGUGUACCCGCGGCAAGACGGAAAGACCCCGUGAACCUUUACUAUAGCUUGACACUGAACAUUGAGCCUUGAUGUGUAGGAUAGGUGGGAGGCUUUGAAGUGUGGACGCCAGUCUGCAUGGAGCCGACCUUGAAAUACCACCCUUUAAUGUUUGAUGUUCUAACGUGGACCCGUAAUCCGGGUUGCGGACAGUGUCUGGUGGGUAGUUUGACUGGGGCGGUCUCCUCCUAAAGAGUAACGGAGGAGCACGAAGGUUGGCUAAUCCUGGUCGGACAUCAGGAGGUUAGUGCAAUGGCAUAAGCCAGCUUGACUGCGAGCGUGACGGCGCGAGCAGGUGCGAAAGCAGGUCAUAGUGAUCCGGUGGUUCUGAAUGGAAGGGCCAUCGCUCAACGGAUAAAAGGUACUCCGGGGAUAACAGGCUGAUACCGCCCAAGAGUUCAUAUCGACGGCGGUGUUUGGCACCUCGAUGUCGGCUCAUCACAUCCUGGGGCUGAAGUAGGUCCCAAGGGUAUGGCUGUUCGCCAUUUAAAGUGGUACGCGAGCUGGGUUUAGAACGUCGUGAGACAGUUCGGUCCCUAUCUGCCGUGGGCGCUGGAGAACUGAGGGGGGCUGCUCCUAGUACGAGAGGACCGGAGUGGACGCAUCACUGGUGUUCGGGUUGUCAUGCCAAUGGCACUGCCCGGUAGCUAAAUGCGGAAGAGAUAAGUGCUGAAAGCAUCUAAGCACGAAACUUGCCCCGAGAUGAGUUCUCCCUGAGACUUAGAGUCUCCUGAAGGAACGUUGAAGACGACGACGUUGAUAGGCCGGGUGUGUAAGCGCAGCGAUGCGUUGAGCUAACCGGUACUAAUGAACCGUGAGGCUUAACCUUACAACGCCGAAG
RNAcentral lists this ribosomal RNA (1769 nucleotides) under Salmonella enterica subsp. enterica serovar Typhimurium. RNAcentral's name for it is "partial 23S ribosomal RNA". It matches the Rfam family "Bacterial large subunit ribosomal RNA", at positions 1192 to 2925 of the family's 2925-position model. The record is from RNAcentral. Lineage: Bacteria; Pseudomonadati; Pseudomonadota; Gammaproteobacteria; Enterobacterales; Enterobacteriaceae.